UACAGAGGGUGCAAGCGUUAAUCGGAUUUACUGGGCGUAAAGCGUGCGUAGGCGGUUCGUUAAGUUCGUUGUGAAAGCCCCGGGCUCAACCUGGGAAUGGCAAUGGAAACUGGCGGGCUGGAGUAUGGCAGAGGGGGGUGGAAUUCCGCGUGUAGCAGUGAAAUGCGUAGAGAUGCGGAGGAACACCGAUGGCGAAGGCAGCCCCCUGGGCCAAUACUGACGCUCAGGCACGAAAGCGUAGGGAGCAAACAGG
RNAcentral lists this ribosomal RNA (253 nucleotides) under uncultured bacterium. RNAcentral's name for it is "partial 16S ribosomal RNA". It matches the Rfam family "Bacterial small subunit ribosomal RNA", at positions 524 to 776 of the family's 1533-position model. The record is from RNAcentral.